Molecule: long non-coding RNA, 2071 nt
Organism: Homo sapiens (human)
Lineage: Eukaryota; Metazoa; Chordata; Mammalia; Primates; Hominidae
Source: Ensembl
AGUCCGGCUGGCCGCUCACGCGUCGGGCCCCCAUUUACUCUCGUUACUGAGGAGACACGGCUCCAGUUUUGACCCGACUACGGUUGUUUUCUUCGUGUGUACCGCGAAAUGCUGAUGACGUCCGGUUCCGCGCAGUUUUUUUCCUAUUUCGUUUCCAACCACAGUUGUGCGGUUCACAGAUUUUUCCCUUGGGAUGUGUUUUCCAUACCUCCAAGCCCACUCUCAGAGCCUUGGGGCCCCAUAAAACUUCAUGCGCAGCUGCUUUCUGGUAUUUGCAGACCUGGAAGGCUUCUCGUAUUCUUAAUUUGGGGAAGAGAGACAUAGGUUUCCUUGUACAACGGGAUGAGGAUUUAAGAGCAGAACGACACUGAUAUUUUAAAGGCGAGGGUAUUUAGAUUUGUGGAGCUGAAACUUGCCUGAAAAGGGAGACAAAAUUUGGAAGUUUGUUGUGUGCAGUUUCUGCCCCUUACCCCCGCCCUUCACUUUUAAACUGCGCAUAUAUCAACAAUAGUUACGGUUGUUGCAGCAGUCUAAAUUUGAUUAUCAGAAUUGACCCUAGGCAUGAAUUUUUUUUUAAAUAUACCAAUGUCGUGUUAUAUACACUUAUACCAUUAUGUCCAGACUUCUCUUAAGCAUAGUUCGUGGUGGGCAGUUUUGUGGUCAUUUAGGGAUGAACUUGGGUAGGGAAAGCUGAGCAUACAUAAUUUAUUUUAGGAAUGCACCAGUUCUGCCAACAUUUAUCAGAAGUCACGUUUUUAAAAAGCUAUUCUGGAACUGAAGAUGUCAUUGGUUUAUAAGAGGAAAAUGGAAGCCAAAAGCUUACACCUCAUGCUCUAUCUUUAAAAAUUAAGGUGGCAGACACAAUGAGUAGAAGGCUUUUAUGUUACCAGAAUGAAGGCUUAAAAUCUGUCAUUUUAUUGACUCGGCUUUCUUUUUAGAAAUUUCUUUAAGAUAUAAAAGCAAUGUGGAAUAUCACUCUUUCACACUCUUAAAAUAGAUUACGUUCUCUGGAACUUCUCUAAUCUGAAAUGUGUUCAAAAAGGAAAAAGAUCUUUAAAAUACGCCAGUUAGUCUAUGGUAUAAUAUUAAACACUAUUCAUCACUAGAGAAGUUAUGGUGGUAUACCCUCCCCUUUCUCAGAUGUCCACCUUAAUGCCAGAAAUGAGCGGAGUUUCCCUUUGUUGUGCAAAAUGACUGUGUCCUUGAGGGAUGUUUGGAUGCUCUUGGUAAACCGGAAUCAGCCAGAAGCAUAUCCGGUGUUAGCCUUGUUGUGUCAUCAACAUUACAACAGUGAGGAAACCCACAUAUUCCAAUGAAAGAGGAAAACUUAAAGAAGAAGUUUCCAGUGUAUUUUCUUUGAGAUAUAUUUAUUCCUAUGACCUCAGAAGAUCAGCUUUUACCGUCCAAGGUUCACUUUGCCUAAAAGCUGAUUGUUCCUGUGGAAACAGUAGCAUCGGAUGACCCUACAAACAAAGCAUUAUGACAUCAUCAGAGCCAACAACCUGGCAUGACAGAUACUAAUAAGGAAAAAAGAGGUUACAAGAAUUCUGACACUCAUCACAGUGGAUCCAAUAUCUGGUCCCUUGGGUUUCAUAUAUGUUAGAAGUAUCUUCUCAGGAGGGAAAAGUCAAUGCCAGUCAUAUCCUUUCUAGCUAUUAGAAAUGUCCAUCAGCUUACGAGGAGAUUCUCCCUCAUCUCACAAACUACCUGCAUCUCCACUUCCCUGGAAGAAAAAAAAAAUCUGGACAUACCCAAGCUGUGUAUGUGCCUGAGAUCUUCCCUUCCAAGUCUCCUAGGGGCUGAUCUCAGCAGAGAAAUGGAGACAGUUCAGUCACCAACAGUUUGUUACUGGAUUUUGGAAAAGGUACCAAAGUAAGAAUCCAAGGCUUGUAUUCUUAUCUUAGCUCUGUGAUUAACAAGCUUAGGUAAGGCUUCUAAUCUUUCUGGGUUUCUUUCCUUAUCAAUAAAAUGCGCAAGUCAGACUGCAUAAUCUUUAUGGUUUCUUCCAAAUUUCAAAUUCCAUGCAUCUAUUAAAGAGAAUCAAAAUUGUGCAUGAUUUGUCUAAAAUACC